This 675-nucleotide ribosomal RNA is filed under the name Acinetobacter baumannii. RNAcentral's name for it is "bacterial SSU rRNA". It matches the Rfam family "Bacterial small subunit ribosomal RNA", at positions 401 to 1066 of the family's 1533-position model. The record is from RNAcentral. Lineage: Bacteria; Pseudomonadati; Pseudomonadota; Gammaproteobacteria; Moraxellales; Moraxellaceae.
UUGUGGAAGAAGGCCUUCUGAUUGUAAAGCACUUUUUUGCGAGGAGGAGGCUACUUUAGUUAAUACCUACAGAUAGUGGACGUUACUCGCAGAAUAAGCACCGGCUAACUCUGUGCCAGCAGCCGCGGUAAUACAGAGGGUGCGAGCGUUAAUCGGAUUUACUGGGCGUAAAGCGUGCGUAGGCGGCUUAUUAAGUCGGAUGUGAAAUCCCCGAGCUUAACUUGGGAAUUGCAUUCGAUACUGGUGAGCUAGAGUAUGGGAGAGGAUGGUAGAAUUCCAGGUGUAGCGGUGAAAUGCGUAGAGAUCUGGAGGAAUACCGAUGGCGAAGGCAGCCAUCUGGUCUAAUACUGACGCUGAGGUACGAAAGCAUGGGGAGCAAACAGGAUUAUAUACCCUGGUAGUCCAUGCCGUAAACGAUGUCUACUAGCCGUUGGGGCCUUUGAGGCUUUAGGGGCGCAGCUAACGCGAUAAGUAGACCGCCUGGGGAGUACGGCCGCAAGACUAAAACUCAAAUGAAUUGACGGGGGCCCGCACAAGCGGGGGAGCAUGUGGUUUAAUUCGAUGCAACGCGAAGAACCUUACCUGGCCUUGACAUACUAGAAACUUUCCAGAGAUGGAUUGUCGCCUUCGGGAAUCUAGAUACAGGUGCUGCAUGUCUCUUCGUCAGAACCCCUG